This 468-nucleotide ribosomal RNA is filed under the name uncultured bacterium. RNAcentral's name for it is "partial 16S ribosomal RNA". It matches the Rfam family "Bacterial small subunit ribosomal RNA", at positions 28 to 507 of the family's 1533-position model. The record is from RNAcentral.
GACGAACGCUGGCGGCGUGCUUAACACAUGCAAGUCGAACGGAAAGGCCCUGCCUUUGUGGGGUGCUCGAGUGGCGAACGGGUGAGUAACACGUGAGUAACCUGCCCUUGACUUUGGGAUAACUUCAGGAAACUGGGGCUAAUACCGGAUAGGAGCUCCUGCUGCAUGGUGGGGGGGGGAAAGUUUCGGCGGUUGGGGAUGGACUCGCGGCUUAUCAGCUUGUUGGUGGGGUUGUGGCUUACCAAGGCUUUGACGGGUAGCCGGCCUGAGAGGGUGACCGGCCACAUUGGGACUGAGAUACGGCCCAGACUCCUACGGGAGGCAGCAGUGGGGAAUAUUGCACAAUGGGCGGAAGCCUGAUGCAGCAACGCCGCGUGCGGGAUGACGGCCUUCGGGUUGUAAACCGCUUUCGCCUGUGACGAAGCGUGAGUGACGGUAAUGGGUAAAGAAGCACCGGCUAACUACGUG